This 404-nucleotide ribosomal RNA is filed under the name uncultured bacterium. RNAcentral's name for it is "partial 16S ribosomal RNA". It matches the Rfam family "Bacterial small subunit ribosomal RNA", at positions 338 to 734 of the family's 1533-position model. The record is from RNAcentral.
CCUACGGGAGGCAGCAGUAGGGAAUCUUGCACAAUGGGCGAAAGCCUGAUGCAGCCACGCCGCGUGUGUGAAGAAGGUCUUCGGAUCGUAAAACCCUGUUGUUAGAGAAGAAAGUGCGUGAGAGUAACUGUUCACGUUUCGACGUUAUCUAAACAAAAAGCCACGGCUAACUACGUGCCAGCAGCCGCGGUAAUACGUAGGUUGCAAGCGUUAUUCGGAUUUAUUGGGCGUAAAGGGAACGCAGGCGGUCUUUUAAGUCUGAUGUGAAAGCCUCGGGCUUAACCGGGGGAGUGCAUUUGAAACUGGCAGACGUGAGUGUAGAAGAGGAGAGUGGAAGGCCAGGUGUAGCGGUGAAAUGCGUAGAGAUAUGGAAGAACACCAGUGGCGAAGGCGGCCCUCUGGUC